Small nuclear RNA from Myotis daubentonii (Daubenton's bat), 106 nucleotides. Lineage: Eukaryota; Metazoa; Chordata; Mammalia; Chiroptera; Vespertilionidae. The record is from RefSeq and is a predicted model, not a curated record.
GUGCUUACUUCAGCAGCACACAUACUAAAAUUGGAACAAUACAGAGAAGAUGAUCAUGGCCCCGCACAAGGAUGACAAACAAAUUCAUGAAGCAUUCCACAUAUUU